Molecule: ribosomal RNA, 842 nt
Filed under: uncultured Sphingobacteriia bacterium
Lineage: Bacteria; Pseudomonadati; Bacteroidota; Sphingobacteriia
Description: bacterial SSU rRNA
Rfam family: Bacterial small subunit ribosomal RNA
Source: RNAcentral
GGGGCAGCAGGUCUGUAGCAAUACAGGCGCUGGCGACCGGCAAACGGGUGCGGAACACGUACACAACCUUCCUUUAAGUGGGGAAUAGCCCGGGGAAACCCGGAUUAAUACCCCGUAAUAUUAUGAAAUGGCAUCAUUUUAUAAUUAUAGCUCCGGCGCUUAAUGAUGGGUGUGCGGCUGAUUAGGUAGUUGGCGGGGUAAUGGCCCACCAAGCCUGCGAUCAGUAACUGGUGUGAGAGCACGACCAGUCACACGGGCACUGAGACACGGGCCCGACUCCUACGGGAGGCAGCAGUAAGGAAUAUUGGUCAAUGGACGCAAGUCUGAACCAGCCAUGCCGCGUGGAGGAUGAAGGUCCUCUGGAUUGUAAACUUCUUUUAUUUGGGAAGAAACCCAUAGUUUCUACUGUGGUUGACGGUACCAGAUGAAUAAGCACCGGCUAACUCCGUGCCAGCAGCCGCGGUAAUACGGAGGGUGCAAGCGUUAUCCGGAUUCACUGGGUUUAAAGGGUGCGUAGGUGGGUCUGUAAGUCCGUGGUGAAAUCUCCGAGCUUAACUUGGAAACUGCCAUGGAUACUAUAGGUCUUGAAUACUGUGGAGGUCAGCGGAAUAUGUCAUGUAGCGGUGAAAUGCUUAGAUAUGACAUAGAACACCAAUUGCGAAGGCAGCUGGCUACACAAAUAUUGACACUGAUGCACGAAAGCGUGGGGAUCAAACAGGAUUAGAUACCCUGGUAGUCCACGCCCUAAACGAUGGAUACUCGACAUUUGCGAUAAACUGCAAGUGUCUGAGCGAAAGCAUUAAGUAUCCCACCUGGGAAGUACGAUCGCAAGAUUGAAACUC